RNAcentral lists this transfer RNA (72 nucleotides) under Camelus ferus (Wild Bactrian camel). It matches the Rfam family "tRNA". Rfam says of the family: Transfer RNA (tRNA) molecules are approximately 80 nucleotides in length. Their secondary structure includes four short double-helical elements and three loops (D, anti-codon, and T loops). Lineage: Eukaryota; Metazoa; Chordata; Mammalia; Artiodactyla; Camelidae. The record is from Rfam by way of RNAcentral.
AAGGGUGGAGCUCAGUGGUAGAGCGCAUGCUUAGCAUGCAUGAGGUCCUGGGUUCAGUUCUCAGUACCUCCA